GCGAAGGUGGCGGAAUUGGUAGACGCGCUAGCUUCAGGUGUUAGUGU
This 47-nucleotide transfer RNA is filed under the name Escherichia coli. RNAcentral describes it as "tRNA_Leu_CAG". Lineage: Bacteria; Pseudomonadati; Pseudomonadota; Gammaproteobacteria; Enterobacterales; Enterobacteriaceae. The record is from RNAcentral. RNAcentral also lists the same sequence under 2 other names.